Passer domesticus (house sparrow) is the source of this 434-nucleotide long non-coding RNA. RefSeq lists it as uncharacterized. The transcript is spliced from 4 exons. The record is from RefSeq and is a predicted model, not a curated record. Lineage: Eukaryota; Metazoa; Chordata; Aves; Passeriformes; Passeridae.
GCAGCCCAGUUUGGAAAGGACAGCAAAAGACAUUCAGCCUAUUGAAUUACCUUGCACAAUUCAACUACAUCUUGAAAAUGUGCAGGGAUGGCAAUUAACCAUAUACUUGGAGGAGAAGGCAAUGGGAAACAGUGCUUUUCUUCGUGCUUUGCUGAAGUCCUUAUAAGAAACAUCCCUGCUCUCCCUAAGUUAAGAGAAGUGAUCAGAUUUGACAACACAGAGAAGUGUCAAAAAUCGACAGCACCAGCAACUCUGUCCAUCCACUGAUCAGGCCCCAGUUUCCGUGCAACAAGAAAAAGACAUGCCACAUACAGAAAAAGGGAGACUCCUCUCAGUUUGGAUGCCAGAUAGAAAAUUGUUGUUUGAAGGAAUUUCUAUGAAUGUUUCAGACAGUCUCUGAAGUUUAAUAUUAGCAUGGAAAUAAAAAAAAAAUU